RNAcentral lists this ribosomal RNA (324 nucleotides) under Dysmicoccus ryani. RNAcentral describes it as "partial 28S large subunit ribosomal RNA". The record is from RNAcentral. Lineage: Eukaryota; Metazoa; Arthropoda; Insecta; Hemiptera; Pseudococcidae.
AAACCGUUCGGGGGUAAACGGACAGAGCCCGUGAAUCCGGGCGGCGGAAUUCAGAAUCGACGGCGUUCGCGCGUCGUCGGUUCGAUAUUUCCGUCGCCAGCAUAAUACACACGGACGUCGCGACCCGUUCGGUGUCGGUCCGCAGGAGACGCGCGAAAGUUCGUGCGCGAUCGACGGGGUUUCGGCCUCGGCGGUCGUUUCGCGAGUGCGCGUUCUUUAUUUCUGGCCGACUCGCCGGACGGUAUGCGAAGCGGUGAUCGCGGCGGCCUGUCGUCAGCGCCGUCGCGUUACCGGUCUGCGACGAAUCUUCGGGCCUCUUUCCGA